This 148-nucleotide small RNA is filed under the name Macaca fascicularis (crab-eating macaque). Its description in RNAcentral is "Metazoan signal recognition particle RNA (ENSMFAG00000047465.1)". Lineage: Eukaryota; Metazoa; Chordata; Mammalia; Primates; Cercopithecidae. The record is from Rfam by way of RNAcentral.
GCCGGGCAUGGUGGUGCAUGCCUGUAGUCCCAGUUACUCGGGAGGCUGAGGCAGAAGAAUCUCUUGAACCCAGGAGGCGGAGGUUGCAGUGAGCCGAGGUCACGCCACUGCACUCCAUCCUGGGUGACAGAGCGAGAUUCCGUCUCAA